This 251-nucleotide ribosomal RNA is filed under the name uncultured Gardnerella sp. RNAcentral describes it as "partial 16S ribosomal RNA". It matches the Rfam family "Bacterial small subunit ribosomal RNA", at positions 100 to 355 of the family's 1533-position model. The record is from RNAcentral. Lineage: Bacteria; Bacillati; Actinomycetota; Actinomycetes; Bifidobacteriales; Bifidobacteriaceae.
GGGUAGAGUAAUGCGUGACCAACCUGCCCAUGCUCCAGAAUAGCUCUUGGAAACGGGUGGUAAUGCUGGAUGCUCCAACUUGACGCAUGUCUUGUUGGGAAAGUGUUUAGUGGCAUGGGAUGGGGUCGCGUCCUAUCAGCUUGUAGGCGGGGUAAUGGCCCACCUAGGCUUCGACGGGUAGCCGGCCUGAGAGGGCGGACGGCCACAUUGGGACUGAGAUACGGCCCAGACUCCUACGGGAGGCAGCAGCC